RNAcentral lists this ribosomal RNA (406 nucleotides) under uncultured bacterium. RNAcentral's name for it is "partial 16S ribosomal RNA". It matches the Rfam family "Bacterial small subunit ribosomal RNA", at positions 30 to 526 of the family's 1533-position model. The record is from RNAcentral.
AUUGAACGCUGGCGGCAGGCCUAACACAUGCAAGUCGAACGAGAGGCGCGCAGGUGAGUGUUGUCUGUGAGACUGCCUGAUGGAGGGGGGUAACUCCUGGAGACGGUAUCUCAUAUCGCAUACGCUCACAUAUGCCCACAUGGGAUUAGCUAGUGGGGGGGGUAACGGCUCACCUAGGCGACGAUCCCUAGCUGGUCUGAGAGGAUGACCAGCCACACUGGAACUGAGACACGGUCCAGACUCCUACGGGAGGCAGCAGUGGGGAAUAUUGCACAAUGGGCGCAAGCCUGAUGCAGCCAUGCCGCGUGUGUGAAGAAGGCCUUCGGGUUGUAAAGCACUUUCAGCGGGGAGGCGUUACCCGCAGAAGAAGCACCGGCUAACUCCGUGCCAGCAGCCGCGGUAAUAC